This 3694-nucleotide long non-coding RNA is filed under the name Ananas comosus (pineapple). RNAcentral's name for it is "long non-coding RNA (ACOM_LNC042862)". The record is from RNAcentral. Lineage: Eukaryota; Viridiplantae; Streptophyta; Magnoliopsida; Poales; Bromeliaceae.
GUGUGAAGCCUCCACACCAAGUGUGCAAGAGAGCGAGUGUGAGGUGGUGUGCAAGAGUGAGUGAGUGCAAGUGUGUGUGUGUGUGUGUGAGUGUGAGGUGAGGAAGUGUUGUGAAGUGUAGUGAAGUAGUAAAAGUAAGUGUGUGAGGUUUGUAGUCUUAUGGGUGUAUGUGAAUGAGAAUUAUUUUGUGUGUAAUAAAGAGAGUUUUAUUAUCAGUCUGGUACGCCGAUAUUCUACAAUUUGGUAUCAAAGCCAGAUUGUAGGAAAUAUUCUGCUAGUUAAGUCGGUGAAAUUCUGCCAGUCCAGGCAGUUAAAUACCGAUAUAAGCAGAGAUUCUGCUGGUGCACAGUUUGGGAUUGUGAAGUUGGUUGGUCUGGGACCAGACUUACUUGGUUGACUGCUGGGCAAUCACCAAGUCACUAUGGUAGAUCUUGCUGGUACAACUAGCGGAAUUAAGAAGCUAAAUAACCAUAAUUAUGGUUAUUGGCAAACCUGCAUUGAGUCUUACCUACAAGGGUAGGACUUGUGGGAGGUUAUCGGUGGUGCUGAAACAAUUCCACCACCGAAGGAGAAUGCAGAAGCGUUCAGAAAGUGGCGUAUCAAGGCAGGGAAGGCGAUGUUCAUCCUGAAGACGACAAUCGAAGAAGAGCUGCUGGAGCAUAUCAAAGAAGCAGAUACACCCAAGGCUGCAUGGGACACCUUCGCCUCAUUAUUUUCAAAGAAGAACGAUGCUCGACUUCAACUGCUGGAAAAUGAGCUGAUGACGAUAGCUCAGGGCAACAUGACGAUUAGCCAGUGCUUCAUGAAGGUAAAAUCUCUCUGCCGUGAAAUAUCCCAAUUAGAUCCAGAGUCAAAAAUUAGUGAUCAGCGGAUGAAGAGAAUUAUUAUUCACAGCCUAAAACCCGAAUAUAACGGGUUCAUUACUGCUAUUCGAGGAUGGCCCACUCAACCAACGUUGGUGGAGCUAGAAAAUUUACUGGCUAAUCAGGAGGCCCUAGCCAAACAGAUGGCUAGAGUCUCACUGAAAACUGAAAAUGAGGCACUCUUCAGCAGUAGAAGAAAAGGUCGAGCAAUAGGAGGGCCAAGAAAUGUGAAGCCGCUGAAGGAGUUCAGUGGGUCAAAACAAAGGACGGGAGAGAGCCACCUUACAUGGGGAGUCCACAACCAGAAGGACCAAAAUACCUGGCAGUUUAAAGACGACAAACGGCGAAGCGGAGAGUGUUACAAUUGCAGCAAGAAAGGACACUUCGCCCGAGACUGUUGGCACAAGAAGAAACAAGUACAAGGCAAUCUGGCAACGUUAGGUGCUAAGAAGGAAAAGCUACUAAAAUAGGUACCAAUAUAUGCACUCACAACAAUAGAAAAUCCAAGAGAGGUGAAUUACAGUACAGAUUGGAUCAUCGACUCUGGAUGUUCCAAUCAUAUGACCGGUGAUAGAGACAAGCUGCUCAGCACAACAGAAUAUAAAGGAGGAAGAGUAGUGGUGACAGCUAACAACUCGAAGCUGCCAAUCACUCACAUAGGAAAGACAAUCAUGACACCCAGAUUCAGCCCACAUCAAGUACAACUACAGAACGUCUAUCAUGUCCCAGGUAUGAAGAAAAAUCUCUUAUCAGUAUCACAACUGACUGCAUCGGGCAAUUAUGUAGUAUUUGGGCCACAAGAUGUCAAGGUAUUUCGCAGUCCCAAGAUCUCUGGUAUACAAAUCAUGGAAGGAAAGAAAGUAGAGUCUAUAUACGUAAUGUCUGCAGAAUCAGCAUACGUAGAAAAGACUCGAAAAAGUGAGACUGCUGAUUUGUGGCAUGCAAGAUUGGGACAUGUGGGCUAUCACAAACUGAAAAUCAUGAUGGAGCGCAGUAUGCUUAAGGGCUUACCUCAACUUGAAGUACGAGGAGACACAAUCUGCGCAGGAUGCCAGUUUGGUAAGGCUCAUCAACUUCCCUACACUGAAUCCAAAUAUAGAGCCAAGGUACCGCUCGAGCUCGUGCACUCUGGUGUUUUUGGACCAGUCAAGCAAACAUCAAUUAGCGGCAUGCGCUACAUGGUGACGUUUAUUGACGACUACUCAAGGUACGUCUGGGUAUACUUCAUUAAAGAGAAAUCUGAAAUAUUGCAAAAAUUUAAAGAGUUUAAAGAAAAAGUUGAAGGACAAACCGGCCAUAAAAUACGAUGCCUGCGCACGGAUAAUAGAGGAGAAUAUACCUCAACAGAGUUCUUAGCUUAUCUGCGAGAGUGCAAAAUAAGGAGACAGCUUACGUGUCCACGCACUCCGUAACAAAAUGGUAUGGCAGAGAGAAAGAAUAGACAUCUAGCAGAAACUUGCCGAAGCAUGCUGCAUGCAAAGAAUGUGCGAGGUAGAUUUUGGGCAGAAUGUAUGAGAACAGCAGCACAUGUCAUCAACCGGCUGCCGCAACCGAAAUUAGGAUUCAUCUCACCCUAUCAAGUACUGUGGAAAAUCAAACCCACAGUAAGUCAUUUUCGAGUCUUCGGAUGCGUGUGCUAUGUGUUCGUACCGGACCAUCUUCGAAGUAAAUUCGACAAGAACGAUGUAUCUUCGUCGGGUACGACAGUGAAAGAAAAGGGUGGAGAUGCUGUGAUCCACCAACUGGUCGCUGCUACACAUCAAGAAAUGUUGUGUUCGAUGAAGCAUCGUCUUGGUGGCCAUCACAAGAAGUUAUACUGCCAGACUCUGAAGAAAUAGAAAUCAAGCUAGAAGAAAAGCUUGGAGAGCAAGUACAAGAAGAAGAGAAGACGAUGUCAGAGCAAGAAGAAAGUGGUCAACCUUCUACGGAGUCAACCAGUGACGAGCAGCAACUCCAAAAGUCUCCAGAACCCUGGCGAACUGGCGUGCAGUAUCAAACCCCAGAAGAAUAUCGGCCAAGCCAGCUUGAAGACAUAGGUAUGCAGUUACGAAGAUCCUCUAGGCAAAGAAAACCUAAUCCUAAGUAUGCAAAUGUUGCUAUUGCCGAAGAAGAGACUCCAAAAGUGCCGGCCUCCUACGAAGAAGAAGUUACAAGGAAGGAGUGGAGGAACGCGAUGGACGAAAGUAUCCAGGCGCUGAAACAGAAUCAAAAUAGAAGAGCAAAUAGCCAACAUAUUCACCAAAGGACUAACCACCGCAAAGAAGAGUUCCGGAAGCAAUUAGGAAUGCUCAGCAAAGCAACAUUAACAGAGAGUUAGAGUUGAGGGGGAGUAUUGAAAGAGGCAACUCUCCCUCUCUCUUUAAUAGAACAUUCUAGAAUGCUCUAUCCCUUUCCAAUUCUCUACUAGCUAAUGGAGCAUUCUAGAAAACUCUAGGAACAAAGUGCUCUCUAUUUGUUAGUAGAGCACUUUAGUAAGUUCUAGAAGCAAGUACUCUAGAAUAUUCUAGAGUACUCAUGUAGGUAGGUUGGAGGCCUAUAAAUAGGUGUGAGGCCUCCACACCAAGUGUGCAAGAGAGCGAGUGUGAGGUGGUGUGCAAGAGUGAGUGAAUGCAAGUGUGUGUGUGUGUGAGUGUGAGGUGAGGAAGUGUUAUGAAGUGUAGUGAAGUAGUAAAAGUGAGUGUGUGAGGUUUGUAGUCUUAUGGGUGAAUGUGAAUGAGAGUUAUUUUGUGUGUAAUAAAGAGAGUUUUAUUAUCAGCCUGGUACGCCGAUAUUCUACAACCAUGAGAGACCAGAACGUUGCGAUAAGAAUGGGUGCGAAACACAUUCACCAG